AUCUAUGCUCAUACCAUCCUGAACAAGCCCAACCUCAUCUGACCUCAGAAGCUAAAUGUGGCUGGGCCUGGUUAGUACUUGGAUGAAAGAAACAAUACUUUUCUGCCAGUUUAUGUG
RNAcentral lists this ribosomal RNA (117 nucleotides) under Octodon degus (degu). Lineage: Eukaryota; Metazoa; Chordata; Mammalia; Rodentia; Octodontidae. The record is from RNAcentral.